UACGGAGGGUGCAAGCGUUACUCGGAAUCACUGGGCGUAAAGAGCGUGUAGGCUGUUUAGCAAGUCAGAAGUGAAAUCCUAUAGCUCAACUAUAGAACUGCUUUUGAAACUGCUUAACUAGAGUGUGGGAGAGGCAGAUGGAAUUUCUGGUGUAGGGGUAAAAUCCGUAGAUAUCAGAAGGAAUACCGAUUGCGAAGGCGAUCUGCUGGAACAUUACUGACGCUGAGACGCGAAAGCGUGGGGAGCAAACAGG
This 253-nucleotide ribosomal RNA is filed under the name uncultured bacterium. RNAcentral describes it as "partial 16S ribosomal RNA". It matches the Rfam family "Bacterial small subunit ribosomal RNA", at positions 524 to 776 of the family's 1533-position model. The record is from RNAcentral.